Molecule: long non-coding RNA, 233 nt
Filed under: Parus major (Great Tit)
Lineage: Eukaryota; Metazoa; Chordata; Aves; Passeriformes; Paridae
Description: lncRNA (ENSPMJG00000009356.1)
Source: RNAcentral
AAUACAGGAGCUUUGAGGUUGCUCAAAGAACUUCCUGGGAGCUGAGAGAUGCUUCACCCAUGGGCAGCACCCUCGGGAUGUCUCCAGCUGUCACCUGAGCCUUUCAAAUCCAUUUCUGCAGCUUUUUAGGCUUCUGCUUUUAUUGCUGUUCCCAGUUUGCUGGAGUGUCUGCUCACGCUGGAGGGUUAAUGAGCCACUGAUUGGGGUUUAAUUGAGUUGUGGCUUGAAGAUGG